This 1550-nucleotide ribosomal RNA is filed under the name Trepomonas agilis. RNAcentral's name for it is "bacterial SSU rRNA". It matches the Rfam family "Eukaryotic small subunit ribosomal RNA". Lineage: Eukaryota; Fornicata; Diplomonadida; Hexamitidae. The record is from RNAcentral.
AGAAGGGCAAGCUUAGAUGAAGGACUAAGCCAUGCAUGCCCAGUAUAAACUAAUCACUGGUGAAACUGCGGACGGCUCAUUAAAUCUGUCAAAAGAUCUCGUGCUGAAGGCAUAGUCGGCUAAUACGGGCAACUCUCUUACUAAUCGUGCACGUAGCAUCGGUUGUGAGUUUUGCUCAGGUUGAUUUGUGUUGCUAGUAUGACUGUUAGGCAAGCACGUCUCUUCUCAGAAACAUCAUUCCAGUAGGAGGAAUAAAGGUUAUCCUAUGAGAUCACGUUUACGGAGAAUUAGGGUUCGACUCCGGAGAAUGAGCAUGAGAGACGGCUCAUAGUUCUAAGGGAGGCAGCAGGCGCGUAAAUUGCCCAAUGUACAAUAGUACGAGGCAGUGACGACAAAUCUUGACCCACUUUUUGUGGGAUUAAGCUGACGACGUAGUACAGUUACGUUGAAACGCUAUUUUUGGGAAAGUUUGGUGCCAGCAGCCGCGGUAAUUCCAACAAAGAAAGCUUUCUCUUAUGUUGCUGCAGUUAAAAAGCUCGUAGCCUUUGUUAAGGUCGCAAGACCUGUGUCACUUUGAGAAAAUCAGAGCGUUCAUAUCAAGGAUACUGUUGCAUGCCACAGCAAAGAAUGACAUCCUAUCUCCACCAUGCGCAAGUGUGGCCGUGAGGUAGAUGUAUCAUAUGGUAAUACGGAGUACAUAGUACUAGUACCGGGACAGGUGAAAUAGUUUGAUCGGUUUAAGACUUCUGCAGCGUAGGCUGUGUACGAGUGCUUACCAGUUGGUCAAGAGCGAAAGUGUGAGGAUAGACGAUGAUUAGACACCGUUUUAUUUCUAGCCUUAAACGAUACCGUCUCGAGAGCGGGCUUCGUUCGCACUCCCAGGGAAAACCGGAAAGGUUACGGGUUCUGGGGGGAGUAUGGUUGCAAGACUGAAACUUGAAGGUAUUGACGGAAAGAUACCACCAGACGUGGAGUCUGCGGCUCAAUUUGACUCAACACGCAAAUCUUACCAGACCCAGAUGCUUUACGGAAUAACAGAUUGAGAGUUCUUUUAUGAUUGGGCAGUUGGUGGUGCAUGGCCGCUCCUAGUUCGUGGUGUAAACUGUCUGCCUUAUUGCGUUAACGAGCGAGACGACCGCCUCAAUAAUUUUGAGGGAGUGCUAGCGUUGAGUUAGACGAACGUGGUCGCACUAGCAGGUCUGUGAUGCCCUUAGACACUCUGGGCCGCACGCGUACUACAAUGAGAGUACCAAACCGUGCUUAGCCUGAAGGCUUGGCUAUUCGUUUGAAUUAUUCUCGUGGUAGGGAUCAGGGGUUGUAAUUGUCCCCUGUGAACGAGGAAUGUCUAGUACCUGUGCUUCAUUAUAGCACGAAGACUACGUCCCUGUCUUUGUACACACCGCCCGUCGCUCCUACCGACUUGGAUGUUAUGGUGAGUUGUUCGGAUUGACGUCUGCAAAGAUGUCGAGAAGUUCUGCGAAUCCCAAUGUCUGGAGGAAGGAGAAGUCGUAACAAGGUUGCUGUAGGGGAACCUGCAGCCGGAUCAUUAG